CCGAGUUUACAACUCCCAAACCCCAUGUGAACCUUUACCAUUCUGUUGCUUCGGCGGGAUCGCCCCGGGCCCCAGCGGCCCGGAACCAGGCACCCGCCGGGGGACCCAAACUCUUCUGUUUUUUUAUGGUUUUUCUUCUGAGUGGCUAUAAGCAAAACAAAUGAAUCA
Molecule: unclassified non-coding RNA, 168 nt
Filed under: uncultured Hypocreaceae
Lineage: Eukaryota; Fungi; Ascomycota; Sordariomycetes; Hypocreales
Description: sequence contains ITS1
Source: RNAcentral